UACGGAGGGCGCGAGCGUUGAUCGGAAUUACUGGGCGUAAAGCGCGCGUAGGGGGUUUGGUAAGUCGGAUGUGAAAGCCCCGGGCUUAACCUGGGAACGGCAUUCGAUACUGCCUGACUGGAGUAUGGUAGAGGAAAGCGGAAUUCCCGGUGUAGCGGUGAAAUUCGUAGAUAUCGGGAGGAACAUCAGUGGCGAAGGCGGCCUUCUGGACCAAGACUGACACUGAGACGCGAAAGCGUGGGUAGCAAACAGG
This 253-nucleotide ribosomal RNA is filed under the name uncultured bacterium. RNAcentral describes it as "partial 16S ribosomal RNA". It matches the Rfam family "Bacterial small subunit ribosomal RNA", at positions 524 to 776 of the family's 1533-position model. The record is from RNAcentral.